GAUGAACGCUGGCGGCGUGCCUAAUACAUGCAAGUAGAACGCUGAAGGAGGAGCUUGCUCUUCUGGAUGAGUUGCGAACGGGUGAGUAACGCGUAGGUAACCUGCCUGGUAGCGGGGGAUAACUAUUGGAAACGAUAGCUAAUACCGCAUGACAACAGUUAUUGCAUGAUAACUGUUUAAAAGGGGCAACUGCUCCACUACCAGAUGGACCUGCGUUGUAUUAGCUAGUUGGUGAGGUAACGGCUCACCAAGGCGACGAUACAUAGCCGACCUGAGAGGGGGAUCGGCCCCACUGGGACGGAGACACGGCCCAGACUCCUACGGGAGGCAGCAGUAGGGAAUCUUCGGCAAUGGACGGAAGUCUGACCGAGCAACGCCGCGGGAGUGAAGAAGGUUUUCGGAUCGUAAAGCUCUGUUGUAAGAGAAGAACGAGUGUGAGAGUGGAAAGUUCACACUGUGACGGUAUCUUACCAGAAAGGGACGGCUAACUACGUG
RNAcentral lists this ribosomal RNA (495 nucleotides) under uncultured bacterium. Its description in RNAcentral is "partial 16S ribosomal RNA". It matches the Rfam family "Bacterial small subunit ribosomal RNA", at positions 28 to 507 of the family's 1533-position model. The record is from RNAcentral.